This 297-nucleotide ribosomal RNA is filed under the name uncultured Pseudomonadota bacterium. RNAcentral's name for it is "uncultured proteobacterium partial 16S ribosomal RNA". It matches the Rfam family "Bacterial small subunit ribosomal RNA", at positions 29 to 351 of the family's 1533-position model. Lineage: Bacteria; Pseudomonadati; Pseudomonadota. The record is from RNAcentral.
AACGAACGCUGGCGGCAGGCUUAACACAUGCAAGUCGAGCGCAUCCUUCGGGGUGAGCGGCGGACGGGUUAGUAACGCGUGGGAACGUGCCCUCUUCUACGGAAUAGCCUCGGGAAACUGAGAUUAAUGCCGUAUACGCCCCGUGAGGGGGAAAGAUUUAUCGGAGGAGGAUCGGCCCGCGUUGGAUUAGGUAGUUGGUGGGGUAAUGGCCUACCAAGCCGACGAUCCAUAGCUGGUUUGAGAGGAUGAUCAGCAACACUGGAACUGACACACGGUCCAGACUCCUACGGGUGGCAG